GUAGUUGGAUUCAUAUCAAUCCACAUAUGUUGGGGUGGGUUAUAGUGUAACUUGAACUAAAUUCUACCUCAAUCUACUUUAAUACAUGUGGAUUGAGAUUAAUACGACA
This 109-nucleotide microRNA precursor is filed under the name Sorghum bicolor (sorghum). RNAcentral's name for it is "MIR5565 microRNA precursor family". It matches the Rfam family "MIR5565 microRNA precursor family". Lineage: Eukaryota; Viridiplantae; Streptophyta; Magnoliopsida; Poales; Poaceae. The record is from Rfam by way of RNAcentral.